UUUCCGUAGGUGAACCUGCGGAAGGAUCAUUAUUGAAUGAAACACUUCUGGCUUUAUGCUGUUGUGCUGGCCCUUUGGGCAAUGUGCACACGGCUCUGGUCACUUGUUUCUUCUGUUCCACCUGUGCACUGCCUGUAGACACGCUGUGUCUAUGAUAUUUGUUAACACACAACAAUGUUAGUUGGCAUGUUAUAUAUAAUAAUAAAAUAUACAACUUUCAACAACGGAUCUCUUGGCUCUCGCAUUGAUGAAGAACGCAGC
RNAcentral lists this unclassified non-coding RNA (261 nucleotides) under plant metagenome. RNAcentral describes it as "partial contains small subunit ribosomal RNA, internal transcribed spacer 1, and 5.8S ribosomal RNA". The stretch from base 213 to 261 matches the Rfam family "5.8S ribosomal RNA", at positions 1 to 49 of the family's 154-position model. The record is from RNAcentral.